Molecule: non-coding RNA, 46 nt
Organism: Megaselia scalaris
Lineage: Eukaryota; Metazoa; Arthropoda; Insecta; Diptera; Phoridae
Source: Rfam
AAAAAGGAUGUUUUAACAUCCAUCUGUUGGAAAUUGAAACCUUUUU